This 495-nucleotide ribosomal RNA is filed under the name uncultured bacterium. RNAcentral describes it as "partial 16S ribosomal RNA". It matches the Rfam family "Bacterial small subunit ribosomal RNA", at positions 28 to 505 of the family's 1533-position model. The record is from RNAcentral.
GACGAACGCUGGCGGCGUGCCUAAUACAUGCAAGUUGAGCGCUGAAGGUUGGUACUUGUACCAACUGGAUGAGCAGCGAACGGGUGAGUAACGCGUGGGGAAUCUGCCUUUGAGCGGGGGACAACAUUUGGAAACGAAUGCUAAUACCGCAUAAAAACUUUAAACACAAGUUUUAAGUUUGAAAGAUGCAAUUGCAUCACUCAAAGAUGAUCCCGCGUUGUAUUAGCUAGUUGGUGAGGUAAAGGCUCACCAAGGCGAUGAUACAUAGCCGACCUGAGAGGGGGAUCGGCCACAUUGGGACUGAGACACGGCCCAAACUCCGACGGGAGGCAGCAGUAGGGAAUCUUCGGCAAUGGACGAAAGUCUGACCGAGCAACGCCGCGUGAGUGAAGAAGGUUUUCGGAUCGUAAAACGCUGUUGGUAGAGAAGAACGGUGGUGAGAGUGGAAAGCUCAUCAAGUGACGGUAACUACCCAGAAAGGGACGGCUAACUACG